GGCUAUGUCCAUGUGGACACAGACCACAGAUGUGGGCACACGAAUCCAUCCGCCUGUCCACGUGCACACGUGAAUGUAGCAACAGAUAUUUGGACAUCAAAUUUGGACACCAGGUCACAGAGAACACAGAGAAACACAGACACCACCCAGGAACACGCAGACAUAUGCCCACAGCAUCCCAUAGGCCCAGGCAGGAGGUCCCACCCCAGACCCCGCCCCAGACGCUCCCUCACCCUCUUGGCCCCCUUGCCCUGGCCCCCAGGUUCUCUGCAGAGAUCUCUCCUGGACCCCCAGUGGUCUCCUUGGCGCCCACGAACACAGGCGUGCACACGCAGCGCACAUGCAUUGAGACACACGAUACCUCGUUCCACCUUGGCGCAUGGUGGGCUGGAGGCAGCCCCCCCCCACAACACUUGAGGCCAAAGGACACCCCUGUCCCCGGGGCUCAGCCUCCCCCUGGGCCGAGGCCUUGACCCAUGCAGCUGAGGGAGAGGCCCAGUCCUGAGCCUCCCCCACCAGGACUGGGCCUACCCAGCAGCAAGCCCCCCGGCACUCCCCGCCAGGCCCAGGGUGGGGUGGACGGGCCCAAAGGCCCAGCCCCACACUCCUUUCCCGUCCACUUGUCACCUACCUACCCCCUUUUGGUUUGUUGGGUUUUUCGUCUUUCCAGAUUGCAGUGGACACAGCCCCCGAUCUCGAGCCCCGGCCCCCGGCUUCUGUCUGGACAUUGCAUCGCCCUAGUUUUCUUUCUUUAAAAAAAAAAAAAAAAAAUUCCAACAGAAGCCACAGGCCAGAGCCCCUGGGAGCCCUCGCACCGCUCCCCACCCGCCUCAGUGGCCCCAUCAGAACUGAGAAUUGCAAAACCCCGACUUAUAGCUAUAGUUAAGUUGCCUUCCCCCGGUGUCCCCACGUUUGGUGUCUGGCUAUGGCGCCCCCCAUCUGACUGUCCAGCUCUCUCUCCCCCACCCCUCCCGGUGUUGUUAUUAAACGUCUGUGGAGCUUCUGCUGCAAGGAACAAAAAAGAAAAAAAAUCAAAAAAGCGACAAAAAAAUACAAACAGAAGAGGAAAAAAAAAAGCAACAAAAAAAGAAAACACACAGAAGAGAUUUAAAAAAAAAAAAGGAAAAAAAAAAAGACAUAAACUGGCACCAGUUAACUUUCUUGUACUUUUUUGCUGAAUUUAGCUUCUUGUAGUUUUAACUUAUUGCUAUGUUAACUAUUUAUUCUCCUCGUUGCCCUGUAAGGACAUCCGUGUAUAUUUCUGUUACUUCAUCCGGUUUGCAAGUCAAAGGAACAACAAUGUUCUCUUUGUUUCUUUAAGUUUUGCCGAGACAUGGUUAAGCCUAAUUUAUUUAUAAAAGGGGAAGUGGAAUCAUUAAAGUAAUAAUAAUUAUUAAUAACAGUAAUGGUAGCCGAGUGGCACGUGGGGGCGUGUGCUCUGCGGGGCAGUCCCCACGGCCAGCGACGUCCAGGUCAUCCAUGGGAUUCUUUUUGCUCUUGUCUUGAGAAUUUUUUCAGUCCCAUUUAGCUGGUGAAAUCCCUAGCUUGUUCUUGAUACACAAACCUAUUUAUUCUUGUGGUUUUAAGUCCUCCCUGCCCUCUCCCCUCUCCCCUCCAGCAGGGCAGGGACCCCUCUCCCCUGCUGUCCCUUGGGGCUCUCUCCCCUCCGCCCUCUGCAUUCGGGAACACGCAUCUCUGCGUGGGAAGCUUGCAGCAGGGCGUCCGAGCAAUAAGGGCUGGGUUUGUCCCCCACCCUGGGGGGGGCCAGGCUCCAGAGAGGGGGCACCUCCCCACACACCCCCCCCACCGAGGCCUAGGCCCCUGCUGCCCCCAAGACUGGGAGGGGACUUCUUUUUCUAAAACACAAAACUCAGCCCAGCCAGGCCCCCUCCCUGGAGGCCAGCACCUCCCCGCAGGGGGCCAGGCCAGGGCUCCCAGGGGAGGGGGACUCGGGUCUUCCAUGUCCCUGGGGGGCAGGGGCCAGGCCAGGGGGGAGGGGGCUCAGCCCCUCCACCCCUCCCUUCAUCCUGUUAUUUAUUCGGAAGGUUUCAAAUCACGACAGAGUCCAUGUUGGAGGUGAUAAAAAACUGUAAAAAAAAAAAAAAAAAAAAAAAAGACAAAAAAAAAAAAAAAAAAAAAAAAAAAACCCAACAAGAACAUUUCGCGUUGCGUUUAGACUAUUUAUUACCGGGAUCACAGGCCUGGCCGCGGUAACAGACUUUUACAUGGAAUUGUUUAAUUAUUUGUACUUUUCAUGCCAGAAAAUAAAAGUUCAGAAUCUUAA
Molecule: non-coding RNA, 2284 nt
Organism: Chlorocebus sabaeus (green monkey)
Lineage: Eukaryota; Metazoa; Chordata; Mammalia; Primates; Cercopithecidae
Source: RefSeq, a predicted model, not a curated record